AGAGCUCAAAUUUAAAAUCUGGCAUUCUUCUGGCUGUCCGAGUUGUAAUCUGGAGAAGCGUUUUCUGUGUUAGACCGUGUACAAGUCUCCUGGAACGGAGCGUCAUAGAGGGUGAGAAUCCCGUCCAUGGCACGGACUACUAAUACUUUGUGAUACGCUCUCGAAGAGUCGAGUUGUUUGGGAAUGCAGCUCAAAAUGGGUGGUAAAUUCCAUCUAAAGCUAAAUACAGGCGAGAGACCGAUAGCGAACAAGUACCGUGAGGGAAAGAUGAAAAGCACUUUGGAAAGAGAGUUAAACAGUACGUGAAAUUGUUGAAAGGGAAACGCUUGAAGUCAGUCGCGUUGCGCAGAACUCANCCUUGCCUUGGCUUGGUGUACUUUCUGCACAACGGGUCAACAUCAAUUUUGGCCCAUGGAGAAAGGUGGGGGGAAUGUAGCGCUGUUUCKKCAGCGUGUUAUAGCCCCUCAUUGUAUACAUGGGCUGGGAWUGAGGAACACAGCACGCCCUWGUGGCCGGGGGGUUUGCUCCACGUACCGUGMUUAGGAUGUUGGCAGAAUGGCUUUAAGCGACCCGUCUUGAAACACGGACCAAKGAGUCUAACAUGCUUGCGAGUGUUCGGGUGGAAAACCCUUGUGCAUAAUGAAAGUGAAAGUUGGGAACCUCCGCAAKGGGGUGCACCGACGCCCGGCCCUGACGUUCUCUGACGGUGCUGCGGUAGAGCAAGUAUGCUAGGACCCGAAAGAUGGUGAACUAUGCCUGAAUAGGGCGAAGCCAGAGGAAACUCUGGUGGAGGAUCGUAGCGAUUCUGACGUGCAAAUCGAUCGUCAAAUU
Molecule: ribosomal RNA, 831 nt
Filed under: Fomitiporia exigua
Lineage: Eukaryota; Fungi; Basidiomycota; Agaricomycetes; Hymenochaetales; Hymenochaetaceae
Description: eukaryotic LSU rRNA
Rfam family: Eukaryotic large subunit ribosomal RNA
Source: RNAcentral